Long non-coding RNA from Anolis carolinensis (green anole), 382 nucleotides. RefSeq lists it as uncharacterized. The transcript is spliced from 2 exons. The record is from RefSeq and is a predicted model, not a curated record. NCBI's taxonomy places the organism in Eukaryota, Metazoa, Chordata, Lepidosauria, Squamata, Anolidae.
CUAUGAUUUGCAACUGUUCUUUUUACCUCAGGCAGAAGGGGGAAUGGCUAGUUGCUGUUUAACUGUUGGUUGGUGAAUGGCACUGGUUUGAAAGUAUUGGUUAAGAACAAAAUGGAGAGGAAAAACCAGAUGGUAACUCUUCUCUAAUAUGCAGCUGCUUCAAAACCAAAGUUGUGUUGUAUGGUCAACUAAACUGAACACUGCAGGAUGUGAGAUAAUAUAGUGUCAGAACAAGGUGUUUCAAGAAAGUGAGCUGCGUGCAUAGAUCUAAAUAGUUCAGGAAAAAAAACUAUACAAUAUUUAUUACAGGGAAGAAUGGGGAAUAUUCCCCAGUAACUUUGCUAUUUAAGAUGGAAAAUAAAAAGUGUGCUGCUAUACUCUC